This 433-nucleotide ribosomal RNA is filed under the name uncultured bacterium. RNAcentral describes it as "partial 16S ribosomal RNA". It matches the Rfam family "Bacterial small subunit ribosomal RNA", at positions 29 to 507 of the family's 1533-position model. The record is from RNAcentral.
AACGAACGCUGGCGGCAUGCCUAACACAUGCAAGUCGAACGAGACCUUCGGGUCUAGUGGCGCACGGGUGCGUAACGCGUGGGAACCUGCCCUUAGGUUCGGAAUAACUCCCCGAAAGGGGUGCUAAUACCGGAUAAUGUCUUCGGACCAAAGAUUUAUCGCCUUUGGAUGGGCCCGCGUUGGAUUAGCUAGUUGGUAGGGUAAAAGCCUACCAAGGCGACGAUCCAUAGCUGGUCUGAGAGGAUGAUCAGCCACACUGGGACUGAGACACGGCCCAGACUCCUACGGGAGGCAGGAGUGGGGAAUAUUGGACAGUGGGCGGAAGCCUGAUCCAGCUAGGCCGCGUGAGUGAUGAAGGCCUUAGGGUUGUAAAGCUCUUUUACCCGGGAUGAUAAUGACAGUACCGGGAGAAUAAGCCCCGGCUAACUCCGUG